Molecule: ribosomal RNA, 498 nt
Filed under: Salmonella enterica
Lineage: Bacteria; Pseudomonadati; Pseudomonadota; Gammaproteobacteria; Enterobacterales; Enterobacteriaceae
Description: partial 23S ribosomal RNA
Rfam family: Bacterial large subunit ribosomal RNA
Source: RNAcentral
GAGCACGAAGGUUGGCUAAUCCUGGUCGGACAUCAGGAGGUUAGUGCAAUGGCAUAAGCCAGCUUGACUGCGAGCGUGACGGCGCGAGCAGGUGCGAAAGCAGGUCAUAGUGAUCCGGUGGUUCUGAAUGGAAGGGCCAUCGCUCAACGGAUAAAAGGUACUCCGGGGAUAACAGGCUGAUACCGCCCAAGAGUUCAUAUCGACGGCGGUGUUUGGCACCUCGAUGUCGGCUCAUCACAUCCUGGGGCUGAAGUAGGUCCCAAGGGUAUGGCUGUUCGCCAUUUAAAGUGGUACGCGAGCUGGGUUUAGAACGUCGUGAGACAGUUCGGUCCCUAUCUGCCGUGGGCGCUGGAGAACUGAGGGGGGCUGCUCCUAGUACGAGAGGACCGGAGUGGACGCAUCACUGGUGUUCGGGUUGUCAUGCCAAUGGCACUGCCCGGUAGCUAAAUGCGGAAGAGAUAAGUGCUGAAAGCAUCUAAGCACGAAACUUGCCCCGAG